GAUGAACGCUGGCGGCGUGCCUAAUACAUGCAAGUCGAGCGAACAGAUGAGGAGCUUGCUCCUCUGACGUUAGCGGCGGACGGGUGAGUAACACGUGGAUAACCUACCUAUAAGACUGGGAUAACUUCGGGAAACCGGAGCUCAUACCGGAUAAUAUAUUGAACCGCAUGGUUCAAUAGUGAAAGACGGUUUUGCUGUCACUUAUAGAUGGAUCCGCGCCGCAUUAGCUAGUUGGUAAGGUAACGGCUUACCAAGGCAACGAUGCGUAGCCGACCUGAGAGGGUGAUCGGCCACACUGGAACUGAGACACGGUCCAGACUCCUACGGGAGGCAGCAGUAGGGAAUCUUCCGCAAUGGGCGAAAGCCUGACGGAGCAACGCCGCGUGAGUGAUGAAGGUCUUCGGAUCGUAAAACUCUGUUAUUAGGGAAGAACAAAUGUGUAAGUAACUAUGCACGUCUUGAUGGUACCUAAUCAGAAAGCCACGGCUAACUACGUG
This 497-nucleotide ribosomal RNA is filed under the name uncultured bacterium. RNAcentral describes it as "partial 16S ribosomal RNA". It matches the Rfam family "Bacterial small subunit ribosomal RNA", at positions 28 to 507 of the family's 1533-position model. The record is from RNAcentral.